AUUGAACGCUGGCGGCAGGCCUAACACAUGCAAGUCGAACGGUAACAGGAAGCAGCUUGCUGCUUUGCUGACGAGUGGCGGACGGGUGAGUAAUGUCUGGGAAACUGCCCGAUGGAGGGGGAUAACUACUGGAAACGGUAGCUAAUACCGCAUAACGUCGCAAGCCCAAAGAGGGGGACCUUAGGGCCUCUUGCCAUCUGCUGUGCCCAGAUGGGAUUAGCUAGUAGGUGGGGUAACGGCUCACCUAGGCGACGAUCCCUAGCUGGUCUGAGAGGAUGACCAGCCACACUGGAACUGAGACACGGUCCAGACUCCUACGGGAGGCAGCAGUGGGGAAUAUUGCACAAUGGGCGCAAGCCUGAUGCAGCCAUGCCGCGUGUAUGAAGAAGGCCUUCGGGUUGUAAAGUACUUUCAGCGGGGAGGAAGGGAGUAAAGUUAAUACCUUUGCUCAUUGACGUUACCCGAAGAAGAAGCACCGGCUAACUCCGUG
This 490-nucleotide ribosomal RNA is filed under the name uncultured bacterium. Its description in RNAcentral is "partial 16S ribosomal RNA". It matches the Rfam family "Bacterial small subunit ribosomal RNA", at positions 30 to 507 of the family's 1533-position model. The record is from RNAcentral.